Long non-coding RNA from Mustela erminea (ermine), 1077 nucleotides. RefSeq lists it as uncharacterized. The record is from RefSeq and is a predicted model, not a curated record. The transcript is spliced from 3 exons. NCBI's taxonomy places the organism in Eukaryota, Metazoa, Chordata, Mammalia, Carnivora, Mustelidae.
UACUGGGGACCUCCUACCCACCAUCAAAACAAGGCCCCUGAUGGUAGCAGAACUUCGGCCGCUGGAGUCCAGCCUUUGGGUGCUACCCCAGUCAAAGCAGUGCGGUGUCCUGUAUUCAGCUCUGAUGACACAGAGAUGACUGCCACCCAGCUUGGGCCUGCCUUCGAGGAGUGCACAGCACAGGCCCAAUGGAGAGGAGAGAGGACACAGGUGUUCAUUCCUCUGACGCUACUAAGACUCUGGGCGUUGGUGGCCUCCAAGACUGAAUGAGGUGCUGAUCAUGUCCCCACACUCUAACGGAUUGGCAGGUCUGCUCCUGACAGAUGAAGAUUAAGAUACUGCCAAGGGAAGGAGGAAUAGGAAGUACCGUAUUAUUGUCCUUAUUUGGCAGCCGGGAAAACUGAAACAGAGAGGUUAAAUAAUCUGCCCAAGGCCACAGAGCUGGUAAGCAGCAGACAGAUCCUGGCUCAAACCCAGCCAACCAGGCUCCAAAAUCUGUGCAAUUACCCCUGAUACGCUGCUGCUUCUUGCUGGGGGAACAACCCAGACCACUGAGCACCUGCCUCAUUUACUUGAUUUUGUAAGACACGCAGGUUGGUGAGCUACACAGAUUCAUCUAUAAUCUCCUCUUUGGAGAUCCGGCAUGUAAUUUGGAAGUGUGUUUGAGAAGGUAGUUGAUGUUAUUUUCAAUGCAGCGGCAGCCCCACAGUGAUCCAUCCGCCAGCUCUCUUUGACAGAGAAUUGAUCUCCCAGGUCAGGAAGCAAACCUCAAUUUGCGUAGGAUGCACUUGGAAUGCGCCCUCUUAGUAGCACACGGAAGAUAAAGCAGAGUCAAUGACAGUUCUUGUCAAUGAGUUUGUUAUGGCAAGAGGCUGUUUGGGCCGAGGACCACUGCUGACACUCCAGAUGUGCGCCUUUUUUUUUUUUUUUUUUGGUAUGAUAAACACGUUGCCUGUGCCUUUUAGCCCCACUUGUCAAUUUCUUGACGUUUCCAAGUCCUCUUUUGAUCCAAGCAUCUCCAUCCAAUGGCACAAAGGCAAAAUGAGUACUUACUUGGUUCCCAAGGCCAUCAACCAU